This 72-nucleotide transfer RNA is filed under the name Heterocephalus glaber (naked mole-rat). It matches the Rfam family "tRNA". From Rfam's summary of the family: Transfer RNA (tRNA) molecules are approximately 80 nucleotides in length. Their secondary structure includes four short double-helical elements and three loops (D, anti-codon, and T loops). The record is from Rfam by way of RNAcentral. Lineage: Eukaryota; Metazoa; Chordata; Mammalia; Rodentia; Bathyergidae.
UGGGGUGUGGCUCAGUGGUAGAGCUCUUGCCUGGAAUGCAUGCGAUCCUGGGUUUGAUCCCCAGAACUGCAA